GGAGGAGUGACCGAGAGGCCGAAGGUGCUCGCCUGCUAAGUGAGUAUGGGCCACAAGCCCAUCUAGGGUUCGAAUCCCUACUCCUCCGCCA
This 91-nucleotide transfer RNA is filed under the name Phoenicibacter congonensis. Its description in RNAcentral is "tRNA-Ser". It matches the Rfam family "tRNA". Rfam says of the family: Transfer RNA (tRNA) molecules are approximately 80 nucleotides in length. Lineage: Bacteria; Bacillati; Actinomycetota; Coriobacteriia; Eggerthellales; Eggerthellaceae. The record is from RNAcentral.